CGCGAAUGGCUCAUUAUAACAGCUAUAAUUUACUUGAUCUUGACACAAUCCUACUUGGAUAACUGUGGUAAUUCUAGAGCUAAUACAUGCAUUAAAGCUCUGACCUCACGGGAAGAGUGCAUUUAUUAGAACAAAACCAAGCGGCUUCGGCUGUUUCUGGUUGACUCAUAGUAACUGAGCUGAUCGCAUGGUCUUGUACCGGCGACGUGUCUUUCAAGUAUCUGCCGUAUCAACUUUCGAUGGUAGUGUAUCUGACUACCAUGGUGAUCACGCGUAACGGAGAAUAAGGGUUCGACUCCGGAGAGUUCGCCUGAGAAAUCGCGAACACAUCUAAGGAAGGCAGCAGGCGCGAAAAUUACCCACUCUCAGCACGAGGAGGUAGUGACGAAAAAUAACGAGACCGUUCUCUUUCGAGGCCGGUCAUCGGAAUGGGUACAAUUUAAACCCUUUAACGAGUAUCUAUGAGAGGGCAAGUCUGGUGCCAGCAGCCGCGGUAAUUCCAGCU
This 505-nucleotide ribosomal RNA is filed under the name Cephalobus persegnis. RNAcentral describes it as "SSU rRNA". It matches the Rfam family "Eukaryotic small subunit ribosomal RNA", at positions 88 to 590 of the family's 1831-position model. Lineage: Eukaryota; Metazoa; Nematoda; Chromadorea; Rhabditida; Cephalobidae. The record is from RNAcentral.